GGUCCAGACUCCUACGGGAGGCAGCAGUGGGGGAUAUUGCACAAUGGGGGAAACCCUGAUGCAGCGACGCCGCGUGUGGGAAGACGGUCUUCUGGAUUGUAAACCACUGUCCCCAGGGACGAAAAUGACGGUACCUGGGGAGGAAGCCCCAGCUAACUACGUGCCAGCAGCCGCGGUAAUACGUAGGGGGCAAGCGUUAUCCGGAUUUACUGGGUGUAAAGGGAGCGUAGGCGGCUGUGUAAGCCAGAAGUGAAAGCCCGGGGCUCAACUCCGGGACUGCUUUUGGAACUGCAUGGCUUGAUUGCAGGAGAGGCAAGUGGAAUUCCUAGUGUAGCGGUGAAAUGCGUAGAUAUUAGGAGGAACACCAGUGGCGAAGGCGGCUUGCUGGACUGUAAAUGACGCUGAGGCUCGAAAGCGUGGGGAGCAAACAGGAUUAGAUACCCGCGUAU
RNAcentral lists this ribosomal RNA (449 nucleotides) under uncultured bacterium. RNAcentral's name for it is "partial 16S ribosomal RNA". It matches the Rfam family "Bacterial small subunit ribosomal RNA", at positions 328 to 793 of the family's 1533-position model. The record is from RNAcentral.